ACUCUGAGGGCAGAAAAAAAUAACUUACUGGAGAACAUGCGACACAUGCAGCAAGAGUUGAUCUCAAAUGGUUUAAGCUUCCCAGUGAUGUAUAAAUUUAAUGGCAGUGUUCCUGAAGGAAUGAAUUCGCUUCACUGUGAACUGGAACUUGCUCAGUCUUCUGAGAUUACCAAGGCUGAAUGGAUGUCCCUGGAUGAAACACUGGACCGUGAAGUACUGUGCUUACUUCAGGGACCUGAGUAUGCGGGAGAAAAAUUUAAGGCUGUUAUGCAAAACCUGGUCAGUGGCAUAGCUU
RNAcentral lists this long non-coding RNA (295 nucleotides) under Cairina moschata (Muscovy duck). RNAcentral describes it as "domestica (muscovy Duck (domestic type)) lncRNA (ENSCMMG00000005161.1)". The record is from RNAcentral. Lineage: Eukaryota; Metazoa; Chordata; Aves; Anseriformes; Anatidae.